RNAcentral lists this ribosomal RNA (497 nucleotides) under uncultured bacterium. RNAcentral describes it as "partial 16S ribosomal RNA". It matches the Rfam family "Bacterial small subunit ribosomal RNA", at positions 28 to 507 of the family's 1533-position model. The record is from RNAcentral.
GAUGAACGCUGGCGGCGUGCCUAAUACAUGCAAGUCGAGCGAACAGACGAGGAGCUUGCUCCUCUGACGUUAGCGGCGGACGGGUGAGUAACACGUGGAUAACCUACCUAUAAGACUGGGAUAACUUCGGGAAACCGGAGCUAAUACCGGAUAAUAUAUUGAACCGCAUGGGUCAAUAGUGAAAGACGGUUUUGCUGUCACUUAUAGAUGGAUCCGCGCCGCAUUAGCUAGUUGGUAAGGUAACGGCUUACCAAGGCAACGAUGCGUAGCCGACCUGAGAGGGGGAUCGGCCACACUGGAACUGAGACACGGUCCAGACUCCUACGGGAGGCAGCAGUAGGGAAUCUUACGCAAUGGGCGAAAGCCUGACGGAGCAACGCCGCGUGAGUGAUGAAGGUCUUCGGAUCGGAAAACUCUGUUAUUAGGGAAGAACAAAUGUGUAAGUAACUAUGCACGUCUUGACGGUACCUAAUCAGAAAGCCACGGCUAACUACGUG